GAUUACAUGCAAGGCACCACAACGUCUCUGCCUGGAUCAUGGCUACACUGACCACAGGGCAAGAUGCCCCAAUGCCUGGCUUACCCGAGAGCUGCAGAAGGAGGUGGCACAUUUUUGGGAGCUGCUGAUGGCUCAGGGACUCUCAGCCUCUGCCCUAAGAGGUCUAAAGAUAAUGUCACCAGGGUUGCCCAGGUAGAUGCGGAUAUCAAGUUGACUGGACAAUUCAUCUGGGAGCAACAUUGUCUCUUCCAAAGCAUCCCCCAGCAUGAUGGAAAAGUGAUGGUCACAUUAGAGCCUGGUAAAGGAGCUGAUGGGAAGCUUGUGACGGAGCCGCUGGUGCUGAAGUCAGGAAACAGGAUCGUAAUGGGCCGGAUGGUGAAAAAAGAUUGAUGCUGUUCUGACUGGUGCCUCCAACGCUCUGGAGACCUGGGCCUCAAAGGAUCAAAAAAGUCACAAAACCUAGA
Molecule: long non-coding RNA, 464 nt
Organism: Peromyscus leucopus (white-footed mouse)
Lineage: Eukaryota; Metazoa; Chordata; Mammalia; Rodentia; Cricetidae
Exons: 3
Source: RefSeq, a predicted model, not a curated record